GAUGAACGCUAGCGGCAGGCCUAACACAUGCAAGUCGAGGGGUAGAGUUCUUCGGGACUUGAGACCGGCGCACGGGUGCGUAACGCGUAUGCAAUCUACCUUAUACAGGGGAAUAGCCCAGAGAAAUUUGGAUUAAUGCCCCAUAGUGUUAUCGAAUCGCAUGGUUUGAUAACUAAAGUUCCAACGGUAUAAGAUGAGCAUGCGUCCAUUAGUUAGUUGGUAAGGUAACGGCUUACCAAGACAAUGAUGGGUAGGGGUCCUGAGAGGGAGAUCCCCCACACUGGUACUGAGACACGGACCAGACUCCUACGGGAGGCAGCAGUGAGGAAUAUUGGUCAAUGGGCGCAAGCCUGAACCAGCCAUGCCGCGUGCAGGAAGACGGUCCUAUGGAUUGUAAACUGCUUUUAUACAGGAAGAAACCCUCCACGUGUGGGANCUUGACGGUACUGUAGGAAUAAGGAUCGGCUAACUCCGUG
This 476-nucleotide ribosomal RNA is filed under the name uncultured bacterium. RNAcentral describes it as "bacterial SSU rRNA". It matches the Rfam family "Bacterial small subunit ribosomal RNA", at positions 28 to 507 of the family's 1533-position model. The record is from RNAcentral.